UGCGGCUGGAUCCCCUCCUUUCUAGGUUACUUCGUCGGAGAUGCCAAUCGAGCCAUUCGACGCCGCGGAUCCUCGUGAUUCGCGACGCGCAUCGUCCGUCAAGUCUCCAGGUCGUCUCUAGAAGCUCCACACACGCGUGCGCUGUUCUGCUGAUUCAGGGGAUUGCGCUCUAACAACGGUGUCAAACCGAUCAUCGGGGGCCUAUAGCUCAGGUGGUUAGAGCGCGCGCCUGAUAAGCGCGAGGUCAGUGGUUCAAUUCCACUUAGGCCCACCAUUUCCGGGGAUAUAGCUCAAUUGGGAGAGCGCCGGCUUUGCAAGCCGGAGGUUGCCGGUUCGAUCCCGGCUAUCUCCACCAGGCAUGGGUCCUGGGUGGUUCGCCCGAGAGGCGUCCACUCCUCGAACGAUAGAGUUCUGUAGCAGCGUCGGCGGAGCACGCUCCGGCGGCGCGAACACAGCUCUUUGACAACUGAAUACGGGUUGACGGGUAAAGAAGCUGAGCCAUCGAGCACCAUAAUGUUCGGUCAAG
This 526-nucleotide transfer RNA is filed under the name uncultured bacterium. RNAcentral's name for it is "partial contains 16S ribosomal RNA, 16S-23S ribosomal RNA intergenic spacer, and 23S ribosomal RNA". The stretch from base 280 to 352 matches the Rfam family "tRNA". The record is from RNAcentral.